AAUCUUGGACAAUGGGCGAAAGCCUGAUCCAGCGACGCCGCGUGGGUGAUGAAGGCCUUCGGGUUGUAAAGCCCUGUUGAGGGGAAAGAAAACGUUGGGCGCGAACAGCUCCCGACCUUGACGGUACCCCUCCAGAAAGCACCGGCUAACUCUGUGCCAGCAGCCGCGGUAAGACAGAGGAUGCAAGCGUUAUCCGGAGUGAUUGGGCGUAAAGCGUCUGUAGGUGGCUUAAAAAGUCUUCUGUCAAAGAUCAGGGCUUAACCCUGGGCCGGCAGGAGAAACUCUUAGGCUAGAGUUUGGUAGGGGCAGAGGGAAUUCCCGGUGGAGCGGUGAAAUGCGUAGAGAUCGGGAGGAACACCAAAGGCGAAAGCACUCUGCUGGGCCACAACUGACACUGAGAGACGAAAGCGAGGGGAGCAAAA
Molecule: ribosomal RNA, 422 nt
Filed under: uncultured bacterium
Lineage: Bacteria
Description: bacterial SSU rRNA
Rfam family: Bacterial small subunit ribosomal RNA
Source: RNAcentral